GGUGAACGCUAGCUACAGGCUUAACACAUGCAAGUCGAGGGGUAACGAGAGGAAAGCUUGCUUUCCUUGUCGACGACCGGCGCACGGGUGAGUAACGCGUAUCCAACCUGCACCCAACUAGGGAAUAACCUUGCGAAAGUAAGACUAAUACCCUAUAAUUUCCUCAGAUGUCAUCUGACGAGGAAUAAAGAUUUAUCGGUUGUGGAUGGGGAUGCGUCUGAUUAGCUUGUUGGCGGGGUAACGGCCCACCAAGGCAACGAUCAGUAGGGGUUCUGAGAGGAAGGUCCCCCACAUUGGAACUGAGACACGGUCCAAACUCCUACGGGAGGCAGCAGUGAGGAAUAUUGGUCAAUGGGCGGAAGCCUGAACCAGCCAAGUAGCGUGCAGGAUGACGGCCCUAUGGGUUGUAAACUGCUUUUAUACAGGAAUAAAGUUAGCCACGUGUGGUUAUUUGUAGGUACUGUAUGAAUAAGGACCGGCUAAUUCCGUGCCAGCAGCCGCAGUAA
RNAcentral lists this ribosomal RNA (506 nucleotides) under uncultured bacterium. RNAcentral's name for it is "partial 16S ribosomal RNA". It matches the Rfam family "Bacterial small subunit ribosomal RNA", at positions 28 to 523 of the family's 1533-position model. The record is from RNAcentral.